RNAcentral lists this ribosomal RNA (379 nucleotides) under uncultured bacterium. RNAcentral describes it as "bacterial SSU rRNA". It matches the Rfam family "Bacterial small subunit ribosomal RNA", at positions 790 to 1167 of the family's 1533-position model. The record is from RNAcentral.
GUAGUCCACGCUGUAAACGAUGGGUACUAGACCUUGUGGGAAUUGACCCCUGCAGAGUCGGAGCUAACGCGAUAAGUACCCCGCCUGGGAAGUACGGUCGCAAGACUAAAACUCAAAGGAAUUGACGGGGGCCCGCACAAGCGGUGGAUCAUGUGGUUUAAUUCGAAGCAACGCGCAAAACCUUACCAGGGUUUGACAUCCUCGGACCGCGGCGGAAACGUCGUUUUCGUAGCAAUACGACCGAGAGACAGGUGCUGCAUGGCUGUCGUCAGCUCGUGUGGUGACAUGUUGGGUUAAGUCCCGCAACGAGCGCAACCCUUGCCUUUAGUUGCCAGCAUUAAGUUGGGCACUCUAGAGGGACUGCCGUGGUUAACACGGA